GGAAGUAAAAGUCGUAACAAGGUUUCCGUAGGUGAACCUGCGGAAGGAUCAUUACUGAUUUAGCGAACCGAGCGUUAGCGAGGUUUUGCGAUCACUUAUAUUUAAAACCCCACUCUUUAAUGUAUAAAAUUUGUAUUAAUGAUAAAUUAAAAGAUCACUUUCAACAACGGAUCUCUUGGCUCUCGCAUCGAUGAAGAACGUAGCGAAGUGCGAUAAGUAAUGUGAAUUGCAGUAUUCCGUGAAUCAUCGAAUCUUUGAACGCAUAUUGCACUUUCUGGUAUUCCGGAAAGUAUGCCUGUUUGAGGGUCAGUUAAAUAAAAUCGGUGUUGUUGCUGCCUUUCGUGGUGACGCGUCGGAAUUGAGUCGUCUUACCUUCGGUUAAGUGACUUAAAAUUUUGCACGAUUUUCGAACGUAUUUAAAUCACUUUACGUAUGUUUGAGAUAUCGAAUGUUUAUUAGGUUCGGUCAUCCUCAUGAUUCGCGCCUAUAAUUUUUCAUUAAAUGACCUCAAAUCAGGUAAGAAUACCCGCUGAACUUAAGCAUAUCAAUAAGCGGAGGA
Molecule: ribosomal RNA, 559 nt
Filed under: uncultured Glomus
Lineage: Eukaryota; Fungi; Glomeromycota; Glomeromycetes; Glomerales; Glomeraceae
Description: eukaryotic LSU rRNA
Rfam family: 5.8S ribosomal RNA (bases 156-309)
Source: RNAcentral